This is a long non-coding RNA of Meriones unguiculatus (Mongolian gerbil), 685 nucleotides long. RefSeq lists it as uncharacterized. Lineage: Eukaryota; Metazoa; Chordata; Mammalia; Rodentia; Muridae. The record is from RefSeq and is a predicted model, not a curated record. The transcript is spliced from 3 exons.
AAGAGAACUGUGUAACUGAGGUCAGAUACUGGUACAGCUCUUUCAGAAUCUGAAUCCUGUGGGCACAAAACUUUCACAAAAGCCACAUAGACCCAAAGGAACCAAGUCCGCUGACGCGUCAGCCUGGACAGCCACCUCCCACAGAAGCCAUAUUCUAAAAACCCAUCCUUCUGAGUUCCCACAGCCUCAAGACCAUCUGGAAGGCAAAGUCACUUCCACCUGCACCUUUAAGAAUUCCCAUGAGACAAGAAGAAAGGAUACUGCCAUUUCUUAAAUGCGGAGCCUGAAGAGUGUCACUUCUGAACUCACCAGAUAAAAUAGUGAGGUUGACUGUGCGCUGCAGGACUGAUGGCCCAGGGACGAACCUGCCUGAUGGUCAGAGAAAUGCUGUUCUUGAGUCUUCUAGGAUGCAGCAGAUACAGGAACCUGGACAUCCCAGUGGGUGCCCAUGAAAAGCCAGCAUCCAUAGGAUCAGUACCCGUCAACAGCCAAGGCAUAGAACCAGCCUCGUGUCUCAUCAACACCCACGUGAGAGCAUAUGUGUAUACGCAGUAGAGUUUUAUUUACCUGUAAAGAAUGAAAUUAUGGACUGGGUGGUGGCAGCAUACCCGUUAAUCCCAGCACUCAAGAGGCAGAUUGGGCAGAGGCCAGCCUGGUCUGCAAGGUGAGUUCCAGGACAGCCAGA